Molecule: small nuclear RNA, 104 nt
Organism: Rhinopithecus bieti (black snub-nosed monkey)
Lineage: Eukaryota; Metazoa; Chordata; Mammalia; Primates; Cercopithecidae
Source: Ensembl
GUGCUCCCUUCAGCAGCACAUAGACUGAAAUUGGAAGAAUACUGAGAUUAGCCUGGCCCCUGCUCAAGAUUGACACGAAAGUUUGUGAAGCAUUCCAUAUAUUU